Lontra canadensis (Northern American river otter) is the source of this 107-nucleotide small nuclear RNA. NCBI's taxonomy places the organism in Eukaryota, Metazoa, Chordata, Mammalia, Carnivora, Mustelidae. The record is from RefSeq and is a predicted model, not a curated record.
GGGCUCACUUCGGCAGCACAUAUACUGCAACUGGAACGAUACAGAGAAGAUUAGCAUGGCCCUUGUACAAGGAUAACAUGCAAAUUCGUAAAGUGUUCCACAUUUUU